CAGAUUGUAUUAGAUACAUUGAGAGGUAUAAUUUGUGUCGAGUUUCUGUGAGUGAGAUCCAUUUCAGCAGAAUCAUGUCAUUUCCUGUAGCAACUCAGCCACAGAAUAUGGAGAUGAGCCAGGCACCAGGGAUGGCUGGGUUGCCACAAAGUCUCCAGUAUCUGGCGGGGUUGGAUCAAAUUAUCAUCAAACAGAAAAUUGAGGCUCUUGAAGGUAUAUAUCCAAGUUUUAU
Mercenaria mercenaria is the source of this 232-nucleotide long non-coding RNA. RefSeq lists it as uncharacterized. The transcript is spliced from 3 exons. The record is from RefSeq and is a predicted model, not a curated record. NCBI's taxonomy places the organism in Eukaryota, Metazoa, Mollusca, Bivalvia, Venerida, Veneridae.